GGAGUAUGUCUCAGCAGAAGAGCUCUGUGAUGCCCAGUGUCUGGCCAGGGCCCCCCAACUUUCCCUGGCCUGGGGUUCCAGCAGAGAGCUGAUCCUCAAUGUGAAGAGUGAGGCAGGAGACAGUGACCAGAGGAUCGCUCAGCCAGUCACUACCCUGUGUACCAGAUGCAGCAUCUGUUUAACAGCAACCCCCACUGGGACUUUGGGGCCUUCAGGAGACUCAGCCACCUGGUACAAGAGACUCACCUCAACUUCUCAAGGUUUGCCCACCAGUUCCUAGAUCCAGGCACAUAUGUGUUUCGAGACAAUGGACUGCCUGAAAGCGUCAUCGUGGUGCUGGUGAAGAAGAAAGGAGUGGCCUGUGAUCCCAGUCUAUCCCCCGUACAGCCCUCCUCCCCAUAUCAGCUUACCAGGCAUGGGGUUCUCAGGCACAGGCUGCCAAACCUGGGCCCAGACUGGGCAGUGAUCACAGGAGAGCCAUUCCCUGUGAAGAUCCUAGAGGACUUCAGCAUCCGUACCCUCUACGACAAGCUUGAGGACCAGAGCCUGCAUGUGGCAGCCCAGCUGAACAAGCACAGGAGUGAUGCACUAGCCUUCUACAGGGGUGCAAGCCAGCAGCUCCAGGGCCUCAAGGACAUUCUGCAGCAUCUCAGCACAACUGAACAGCAAACUCUGGGCAGGGGUAGAGACCCAGGGAAGGAGGUCAAAGCUGCUUCCAGGACAUACACUGGGCAGAGUGAGGAAUCUUGGGGCCGCCACACUGCAGCUUCACCCAGGGAGCACUGGCAGCGUCCUCUAGGCUGCACUGCCAGUGUCUCACUCCUGGACUUUCAGCCAGAGCUUGACAGAGUGAUCGUGGCCCUGGCAUCGGCACUUUCUCAUGCAUGUGGGCAGUCAGCUGGUGCCAGCAGAAAGGUCUCUGGUCAGGUUGGUGAACAGCCUCCCCCCAGCUGUCAACAAGAUUCUCACCUGGCAAGUAACAUGCCCCUGAAGCCACAGCUUCUACCCUCGGAUGAUGAGCACCAAAGUACAAGGUGGGGGCAGGUAUCAGCACUAAGCCUUGCACAUAGCAGCUGUAUUCUUUGGUUGUUGUCCUUAACUCCCAGUACUGAGAAUCUUAUUUUUCAUAACCAGAACCUGAUUUAAAGCCUUAACCCACUCAAAUCCAGCUGAAGGCUUUGGGAUGCUCUGCCCAUAGUAAUUCACCCAUUGUCCUGGCUACCUUGGUUUACCAAGGGGUUCGCUGGUUUGAGUAACUCAUCA
RNAcentral lists this long non-coding RNA (1263 nucleotides) under Ursus americanus (American black bear). RNAcentral describes it as "lncRNA (ENSUAMG00000000281.1)". The record is from RNAcentral. Lineage: Eukaryota; Metazoa; Chordata; Mammalia; Carnivora; Ursidae.